Molecule: long non-coding RNA, 674 nt
Filed under: Sorghum bicolor (sorghum)
Lineage: Eukaryota; Viridiplantae; Streptophyta; Magnoliopsida; Poales; Poaceae
Description: long non-coding RNA (SBIC_LNC001970)
Source: RNAcentral
ACACCACAGGUGAAUUGCCUACUCAAGUGGGAGCUUUUAGUAUACUACACAAAAAUUGUCGUUUCCAAUUAAUAGAAACCAAAACUGUGACGGAUUUAAAGCUCUAUCCAAAUGGGUGCUAACGGUAUUGCCAUGCAAAAUUUGUCGUUUUCUGAUUUAACUGAAACCAAAGCCGUUACGGAAUUUCAGCUUGAACCUAAAGUUAACCCUUGUUCAAUGGAGUAGGGACAUAUGCUCUAGAGACAACUCUCAACAGGUAGCAUUAAAUAUCGCAUAACAGAAUUCUUAAUUCCUGCGCAAAUUGAGAAAACAGAUAGUAUUCAUAAUUAGGAAAUCGAAACCGCAAACUGCUAAAAUCUACAAGCCAGUUUCCACAGGCCACAGGUGGAACUGUCUACAUGGUGGGUGUUUUUAAUAUACCACGAAAAGAAUUUGUCGCCUCCAAUUAACAGUAACCAAAACGGCAAUGGAUUUACUGUUGUAUCCUAGAAGGUGCUAUCUGUUCGCCCUGCAAAAUUUGUCAAUUUCUAAUUUAACUGAGACCAAAGCCGUUACAGAAUUUCAUCUUGAACCUACAGUUCAACGUUCUGCAGACAUGCUCCAGAGACAAAUUUCAACAGACAGCUAAGAAUCACAUAACAGAAUGCUCCCCCAUGAUGGACAUGAAAGGUUAA